UACGGAGGAUGCAAGCGUUAUCCGGAAUGAUUGGGCGUAAAGCGUCCGCAGGUGGCUGUGUAAGUCUGCUGUUAAAUAGUGAGGCUCAACCUCAUAAAGGCAGUGGAAACUACAUAGCUAGAGUACGUUCGGGGCAGAGGGAAUUCCUGGUGUAGCGGUGAAAUGCGUAGAGAUCAGGAAGAACACCAGUGGCGAAGGCGCUCUGCUAGGCCGUAACUGACACUGAGGGACGAAAGCUAGGGGAGCGAAUGGG
This 253-nucleotide ribosomal RNA is filed under the name uncultured bacterium. RNAcentral's name for it is "partial 16S ribosomal RNA". It matches the Rfam family "Bacterial small subunit ribosomal RNA", at positions 524 to 776 of the family's 1533-position model. The record is from RNAcentral.